Molecule: long non-coding RNA, 389 nt
Filed under: Elaeis guineensis (African oil palm)
Lineage: Eukaryota; Viridiplantae; Streptophyta; Magnoliopsida; Arecales; Arecaceae
Description: long non-coding RNA (EGUI_LNC029101)
Source: RNAcentral
GGGGUCUCUAUGGUCGCAAAUCUCUCUAUCAGGUUUUGUCGUCAAAAGGAAAUUGUUGACACUUGUGUGCACCCUGCAUAAUAUAAAUCGUCCACUCAUAGCCGGACCUUGGUGGCAAUAUCCUCUAGUUAUUAAAUACCAGAUUUAUGCACCUCUGGCAGGCCCAAGAUUAGGUCUUCCAUCUCCAGCAUGCUACAUAAUCACUAAAGCAAACACAUUACGCGUAUAUGACGCCCUGAAUUAAUUAAAUUUUGGAACUAUGUUGCCAUGCUUUUGCCAACCACUUAGGUUAUUGUAGCAUUUGAUAAUGAUAUUUAACAAGAUGACCUAAGAGAUUGAAUGUUCAAGGAACAAUGUUCAUUCACCACCACAGCUAGCUACCAAGACCU